Molecule: ribosomal RNA, 253 nt
Filed under: uncultured bacterium
Lineage: Bacteria
Description: partial 16S ribosomal RNA
Rfam family: Bacterial small subunit ribosomal RNA
Source: RNAcentral
UACGAAGGGGGCUAGCGUUGCUCGGAAUCACUGGGCGUAAAGGGUGCGUAGGCGGGUCUUUAAGUCAGGGGUGAAAUCCUGGAGCUCAACUUCAGAACUGCCUUUGAUACUGGCAACCUUGAGUCCGGGAGAGGUGAGUGGAACUGCGAGUGUAGAGGUGAAAUUCGUAGAUAUUCGCAAGAACACCAGUGGCGAAGGCGGCUCACUGGCCCGGUACUGACGCUGAGGUGCGAAAGCGUGGGGAGCAAACAGG